This 446-nucleotide ribosomal RNA is filed under the name uncultured bacterium. RNAcentral's name for it is "partial 16S ribosomal RNA". It matches the Rfam family "Bacterial small subunit ribosomal RNA", at positions 338 to 795 of the family's 1533-position model. The record is from RNAcentral.
CCUACGGGAGGCAGCAGUCGAGCAUCAUUCACAAUGGGGGAAACCCUGAUGGUGCGACGCCGCGUGGGGGAAUGAAGGUCUUCGGAUUGUAAACCCCUGUCAUGUGGGAGCGAAUUAAAAAGAUAGUACCCCAAGAGGAAGAGACGGCUAACUCUGUGCCAGCAGCCGCGGUAAUACAGAGGUCUAAAGCGUUGUUCGGAAUCACUGGGGGGAAAGCGUGUGUAGACUGUUUCGUAAGUCGUGUGUGAAAGGCGCGGGCUCAACCCGCGGACGGCACAUGAUACUGCGAGACUAGAGUAAUGGAGGGGGAACCGGAAUGCUCGGUGUAGCAGUGAAAUGCGUAGAUAUCGAGAGGAACACUCGUGGCGAAGGCGGGUUCCUGGACAUUAACUGACGCUGAGGCACGAAGGCCAGGGGAGCGAAAGGGAUUAGAUACCCUAGUAGUC